GGCAGUUCUCGGGUGGUGGGUGAUGCACCCUGGAAUCGGGCUCCCUCCUCUCUGGUUCCAGGUGCAUCCCCGAGAACCGCA
Molecule: non-coding RNA, 81 nt
Organism: Myotis brandtii (Brandt's bat)
Lineage: Eukaryota; Metazoa; Chordata; Mammalia; Chiroptera; Vespertilionidae
Source: Rfam